UUUGCCGAGCCUUGCGUUGGGCUGCUUUAUCUGCCCCUGACAUGUUCGCUCUCGCUGGGUGAGUGUCAAUUCUUCUUCUUCCACCUCCUCCUCCUCAUUCUUGCCGAAUCUCCCAGGCUUUGCUCCCCUUUCUGGAUGCCAGCAGCUUGUAGUGAUGGAGCAGACCGUUGUCACACACCAACCCUCUCGAUCAGGGUCCAUGUUUCAGGAAAAGGAGGGUGGAGGUUUCUCCACAGGAAGUGACAUGAACUGCUGGUCAAACAGCGUCCCUUACUCGAGCGCAGUCGCACUGACUCAGCCCGGCCUUGGUGUCACCACGACGACCGUCACCACCAUCACGCAGACAGGGGGCGACUGGAGCAGCGGCCUGUUUGACAUCUGCGCAGACGAGCGCACGUGUGUCGUUGGUGCUGUGGCGCCGUGCUGUUUGGACCUGAGUCUCGCUCACCAGUACGGGGAGUGUCUCUGUUUGCCUCUCCUGCCAGGGUCCUCCUUCGCUAUGAGGGUUGCGCUCAGGGAGAGGUACAAGAUACGAGGUAACAUGUGCGACGACUGGAGCGCCGUGUGUUGCUGUUACUCCCUGGCCGCGUGUCAGAUGGCACGAGAGCUGCAGCGGCGCACGGUGACUCGGACGUACCACGUAUCCACCGCACUACAGUGCUCGUGACUGGAACCACUACUGCCAGACCUGACCCCGAAGGUCCCACGCACUUGAACUCAGCAGUGUCAAUUCCAAAGGCCCCUGAAGGAAACCUGCAUAAACCACUUUAUUAGAUUGCGCAGGUACCUAAUGAAGUGGCCAGCAAGCACCCAAAAGAUGCCCGAGCGACCCCUGACGAGACAAGCCGAAAGUCACAACAACAGCUGCAGUUAAAAGCCGAGCACGCCCGCAACCCUAGUGAGGAGAAGCGGCUCAGAAAAUGGAUGGAUGGAUGUUUAAGGCUAGCUGAAGCCAUAUUGGCGUACGAGGUACACCAGAGGGGGAGAAAGACUCCUUUGAAGGUGCCAUCUCGACUACUUUCAUGUGAAAGCUUCAAAGUGAAUGUUUAUGCUUGCUCCACAAGGACUAUUUGUUAUUCCGCUGCCGGUAACGCCCUCACUGGCUGGGGGACCCCGUGAUGCUGAGGGGGGCCUUGUGCUUCAGGAUCCGGGAGGCCCCCGUUCCUGACUCCUUCUACUGAUUUGACGAAGUUGUACUAGUUUGUGUUGGGUGAGUCAUCUUUUUACCACCAAGACAGUUGUAUGACUUUUACAGUGUCAUACCAAAUUAUAGUUAUAUAAAUUCACAUAUAUACCUGUACAGUGUAUCAACACUGGCGGCACGGUGGCCGACUGGUUAGAGCGUCAGCCUCACAGUUCUGAGGACGCGGGUUCAAUCCCCGGUC
Phyllopteryx taeniolatus (common seadragon) is the source of this 1385-nucleotide RNA transcript. It is a transcript of the gene named PLAC8 like 1, with no coding region annotated. The record is from RefSeq and is a predicted model, not a curated record. The transcript has 7 exons. NCBI's taxonomy places the organism in Eukaryota, Metazoa, Chordata, Actinopteri, Syngnathiformes, Syngnathidae.